Molecule: long non-coding RNA, 301 nt
Organism: Saccostrea cuccullata (small rock oyster)
Lineage: Eukaryota; Metazoa; Mollusca; Bivalvia; Ostreida; Ostreidae
Exons: 2
Source: RefSeq, a predicted model, not a curated record
AUGCAUCUCUUGGAAGGUGUUCGAUUAAGAAAACAAACAUGAGGAUGGAGUAGAAGGACUUCUAAAGGUAGUUGUUUAGGAGGAGUUGUGGAUGAGAGAUGGAUAGCUCAAAGCGUAAAGGACGUACGGAUGUCCAGACGGGCACUCCAAUUACUAUUGAAUUUGGAUUCACAUAUGGAAUUCCAUAUCAGACAGCCAUGCAACUGCUUUUAAUUUGCUUACUGUUCCUGUCAACUGCUUACUGCCAACAGCUGCUAAUGUGAUGUUAUACAUUAAUAAAAUUAGCAAAAGUUAAAAAAAA